UCCACUCCAUAUUGUCAGGGCCAUCUUUGAUAUUGUACCGGACCCUGGGCAAACAUUUGCAUGGGGCCCCUGCCCCCUGCCCCCUGCCAGACAUACUAACACGCAUACACAGAGACAUGCACUGACAGACAUACAGACACACACGCGGAGACAGGCACACAUUGACAGACAUACUGACACACACACACAGAUACAUACACUACAGACAUACUGACACACACACACACACACACACAUACA
Molecule: non-coding RNA, 240 nt
Organism: Pelobates cultripes (western spadefoot toad)
Lineage: Eukaryota; Metazoa; Chordata; Amphibia; Anura; Pelobatidae
Source: the annotation of a GenBank genome assembly